Molecule: ribosomal RNA, 495 nt
Filed under: uncultured bacterium
Lineage: Bacteria
Description: partial 16S ribosomal RNA
Rfam family: Bacterial small subunit ribosomal RNA
Source: RNAcentral
GACGAACGCUGGCGGCGUGCCUAAUACAUGCAAGUAGAACGCUGAAGGAGGAGCUUGCUCUUCUGGAUGAGUUGCGAACGGGUGAGUAACGCGUAGGUAACCUGCCUGGUAGCGGGGGAUAACUAUUGGAAACGAUAGCUAAUACCGCAUAACAGUAGAUGUUGCAUGACAUUUGCUUAAAAGGUGCAAUUGCACCACUACCAGAUGGACCUGCGUUGUAUUAGCUAGUUGGUGGGGUAACGGCUCACCACGGCGACGUUACAUCGCCGACCUGAGAGGGUGAUGGGCCACACUGGGACGGGGACACGGCCCAGACUCCUACGGGGGGCAGCAGGAGGGGAUUUUCGGCAAUGGACGGAAGUCUGACCGAGCAACGCCGCGGGAGUGAAGAAGGUUUUCGGAUCGUAAAGCUCUGUUGUAAGGGAAGAACGAGGGUGGGAGUGGAAAGUUCACACUGUGACGGUAUCUUACCAGAAAGGGACGGCUAACUACGUG